Molecule: unclassified non-coding RNA, 227 nt
Filed under: Hevea brasiliensis (rubber tree)
Lineage: Eukaryota; Viridiplantae; Streptophyta; Magnoliopsida; Malpighiales; Euphorbiaceae
Source: RNAcentral
CAUCUAUCAAUGAAAUUUUGACAUUUUCUGCACCUUUUGUUAUGUCACUUAUCCUUUUGAAGGACCCCUUCUCAUCAUAAGUAGUUCUUUGCAGUUGCUUGUUUACCAAAUUAUGAGAANAACCUUAAGGGUUUUGUAAUCUUCUCUUUCAGAACCAUAUUAUGAUUACCAGUUAUUAACGCCCUUCUGUUUGACCCUAUACUAUUAAGGGAAUUGCCAACUUUCCU